GCAAACUUGGUCAUUUAGAGGAAGUAAAAGUCGUAACAAGGUUUCCGUAGGUGAACCUGCGGAAGGAUCAUUACCGAGUGGAUGGCUCCUUACCGGGGCUGUGUCCCUCCUUCCUUGUCUUCUGCCAACCACGUUGCUUUGGCGGACCGGCCAUAUCGUGGCCCCCUGGGGCUUCCCGGGUCCGUGUCCGCCAGAGGUCUUUUUUUAACGCAAGCUAUAUGGAACGGGUCUGAAUGCGAGCUUUAUAAACAUUGAAAAAACUUUCAACAAUGGAUCUCUUGGUUCCGGCAUCGAUGAAGAACGCAGC
RNAcentral lists this unclassified non-coding RNA (307 nucleotides) under uncultured fungus. RNAcentral describes it as "partial contains small subunit ribosomal RNA, internal transcribed spacer 1, and 5.8S ribosomal RNA". The stretch from base 1 to 73 matches the Rfam family "Eukaryotic small subunit ribosomal RNA", at positions 1759 to 1831 of the family's 1831-position model. Lineage: Eukaryota; Fungi. The record is from RNAcentral.